GGGUAGGAAGACAGAAGAGGAACUCCAGGGCUAAGGGUCUCACUGUGAGCUCUCUAUGUCCAUUCCUAGAAACGGCAGCUUCCUUCUCUAGUCCACUCGUUACAUCAGAUACUAAACAUUUAUGGUGCAUGUAUGUUACAGACUACACAGCAGUGUGCCAGAGGAGUAGACAUUUUGCCUUUCAUUUUGGAAUUCCCAUUGGACUGAUGAGAGGAAUAAAUAAAUAAGAGAUCAUUCUACAUUUGAAAGAGCAAACAUUAAUUACACUCUUCGUGAUAGAGGGAAGGAAAAUGGCUUGCAGUGCUAAUGAAAGCUUAGUUGAGAAAUGGAAACACAGGCAUAGAAGUCAGAAGGCAAACUUACCUGUUGGGGAAGAUAAACAAAGGGCAAAGCCUUGAAGUAGUCUGUGAAUUCCUGAAUGCUCAGAGAUUCCAACUCUAGUGAAUAAAUGGGAAAUUCUUGAAAUGGGAGAAAGGAAUCCUGCCUUGGCCUUUUGAGGAUUUUAUCCCAUUGACAAAUGUGACUGAAGCAAUAUUUUAACAAGGUGACAUCAGGCUUGGUGACACAUGCCUAUAAUCCCACCACUUGGGAGGCUGAGAAAAGAUGACCCAGUGAAGCCUUGAUUACAUAGAAGACCCCAUAUCAAAAAGUGAAAAACUAGAUCCUCUAAAAGCAAAACAAAUAAAACACUCUAAAGCAACAAGAUGACUUUUGUACAUCUUAAUUAUUUCUAUACCUGAAAUCAUUCUUAAACUUAGUGUGGUGGUUUGGAUGAAAACCACCAACAUAGACUCAUAGGGAUUAGCAUUAUUGGAAGUGCGGCCUUGUUGGAAUGAGUGUGGC
This 843-nucleotide long non-coding RNA is filed under the name Cricetulus griseus (Chinese hamster). RNAcentral describes it as "lncRNA (ENSCGRG00015029522.1)". Lineage: Eukaryota; Metazoa; Chordata; Mammalia; Rodentia; Cricetidae. The record is from RNAcentral.